AGUGAACGCUGGCGGUAGGCCUAACACAUGCAAGUCGAACGGCAGCACAGUAAGAGCUUGCUCUUACGGGUGGCGAGUGGCGGACGGGUGAGGAAUACAUCGGAAUCUACUUUUUCGUGGGGGAUAACGUAGGGAAACUUACGCUAAUACCGCAUACGACCUACGGGUGAAAGCGGGGGAUCUUCGGACCUUGCGCGAUUGAAUGAGCCGAUGUCGGAUUAGCUAGUUGGCGGGGUAAAGGCCCACCAAGGCGACGAUCCGUAGCUGGUCUGAGAGGAUGAUCAGCCACACUGGAACUGAGACACGGUCCAGACUCCUACGGGAGGCAGCAGUGGGAAAUAUUGGACAAUGGGCGCAAGCCUGAUCCAGCCAUACCGCGUGGGUGAAGAAGGCCUUCGGGUUGUAAAGCCCUUUUGUUGGGAAAGAAAAGCAGCAGGUUAAUACCCCGCUGUUCUGACGGUACCCAAAGAAUAAGCACCGGCUAACUUCGUG
RNAcentral lists this ribosomal RNA (492 nucleotides) under uncultured bacterium. Its description in RNAcentral is "partial 16S ribosomal RNA". It matches the Rfam family "Bacterial small subunit ribosomal RNA", at positions 29 to 507 of the family's 1533-position model. The record is from RNAcentral.